Molecule: long non-coding RNA, 521 nt
Filed under: Gallus gallus (chicken)
Lineage: Eukaryota; Metazoa; Chordata; Aves; Galliformes; Phasianidae
Description: long non-coding RNA NONGGAT004314
Source: RNAcentral
GGUGGGUGGAGAUCAAGAGCUCCGAUGUGACAUGAGAUCUCUCGUGUCAGCUCCCUCGUAACAGAGAGGAGGCACCUGACUGGUGGAAGCCAGCCUGUAAAUACCAGGAUCGCCAAUAACGUGCUGCCUGCGGCUCAAAGUACAGGCCGUGGUGGGCCGGAGCUGAAACAUUAACCAGGCCUUGGGCUUGCUGAGGACAAGCACAGUGGAUGGGUUGCUUCUUACCGAGUCUCAGCGCUGCCUGGGAGACGCUGGCGGACGCCAAUCACCACAGUGAAAUGCUGCAUGGCAAUACAAACGCAGCUUUUUUCCCCUUUUGGAGAUGAGCACGUGUCAAUUGAACAAAGGGUGAGAAGUGAGGGAGUACACCGCAAUUUGCUAACGUGUGGCUGGCUUCCCAGUUCCCUGCGCAUUCCCACAGCCAGACUGCAGUCGUCAUGAUGCUAUUGCCAGGAAAUAUGUAAACAAAAGGGAACUCUCCCUCUCAGCUGAAGCAUUAGGUUGAUUGUGCAAAAAGCCAC